Molecule: long non-coding RNA, 340 nt
Organism: Bubalus bubalis (water buffalo)
Lineage: Eukaryota; Metazoa; Chordata; Mammalia; Artiodactyla; Bovidae
Exons: 2
Source: RefSeq, a predicted model, not a curated record
UUAUACAGCAAAAGAUAACUGGAACAUCUCUUGGAAUCUAUUUUAGUUGAAAAAAUGGCUGUUGGGCUAAAGGCUGUAUUUUCCAGUGUCCACUCUUGCAGAUGCUACUAACCUUGAUAAACAAUGAAACAAUCCUUUGGCAAAUCCUGUCGAGUGAUACAACCUCCAUCUGCUCCCAGGAGAAACAGCAUUUUAGGAGGAUUCUUCCGAAUUGCUUCCACCCCAGGCUUAUAGCCAAGAUCCAAAGCAGCUACUUGGCUUGCAAUCCUGUAAAACAAUUAUGGGAUUUCAGCAUACUUACUGUUUUCAUUAUAAAAAAUUAAAUGUGAUUCUUGAAUAA